This is a long non-coding RNA of Malus domestica (apple), 1630 nucleotides long. RefSeq lists it as uncharacterized. NCBI's taxonomy places the organism in Eukaryota, Viridiplantae, Streptophyta, Magnoliopsida, Rosales, Rosaceae. The record is from RefSeq and is a predicted model, not a curated record.
CUCACAGCUUGAAUGGAAAGAGAGUAGAUUCUAGAAUUUCCACUGAUAAUAUACAUAUGUCACCUGGCCCUCCAAGACACCGGGAAUCACCAGGGGCAUGAACGAAAUCUGACUAUUGAAUGUAUUGCGGACUCCACAUACGUUAAUAGCAUCACUAAUCAUAAAUAUUACACCCACACGCGCAUUGAUGCAUGAAUUUCUCAUUAAUACAAAAAUAGAUUGCGUUACAGAAAAUUAAAUAUACAAUGAGCUUGAUACAUUACAUAGCCUAGUGCAGGAACAUCAACUCUCACAACGUACAGCAAUCAUAAAGAAUAACUUUUGCAGUUCUACGCAAACAUGUCUGACUAAUCGUGUAAAUUAUCAAGAGCACGCAUCUUCUUGACCUGAACUCUCCUUUGCUAUGCUCGCUCAGUUCCGGCCUCCAAAACCUUGUGGACCGGGCCUGGAUGCCGAGCCAACAAACUGCCUCCUUGAAUCAGACCGCCGUUCUGCCUUGCAGCGCCAGGAUGAGCCUGACAAAGGAAGAAUCCCAAGCCGUAAAAAAUAUGGAGGGCAGAUACAUGUUAUACAGUUCAAUAACAUGGCGUAUAAAUUACAGAGAGCGCACAGAAGUGUAGGAUUUAUCUUAUGGGAUAAAUAAAUGUCAAAGGAUAUUCCACCCACAUGAGGAUAUUAACCUCCUAAUUAUCUAUGUGAUAAUUAGAUGAAAAAUCAAGAGAUAUUCAUAUUAGAAUAUACUUGAGAUUUUUCAUGUGCUUUUCAGUUUUUGUACACUCUUCUCAACCACUAUAUAAGGAGGCUUUGGGGAAGAGAGAAAAUACAAGAAACACAAGUUUUUCCCCAGUUCAAAUAUUCUAGUUAGGUCUUUAGAGCUAUCACCAUCAACUUUAGGUCUUGGGAGGUGAAAACCAAGGGGCAACUUGACACCAUAGCCAACCCGACGACCAACGAGGUUCUAGAUGUGCACGGAAGGUCAGAGCAGUUGUUCGUGUUUGUAGGAGUGUGUUGAGAUUCAAGUUUCCGCAUAAAAGACAGGCGUUCUUUUGUGAAAAAGGAACGGUUUCGAAAAUGAACCAUUUCAAUAUUCAGCAGCAGAGCGCCUCUUGGACUGUGAUGACACCAGAGGAUCAGCCUUGAUGUCUGACACCAAGAAGCAUAUGGUUUGCUCCAAGCCCAGGUCAUGAGCCGGGAUUUCCUCUGACAAGUGACAACCCGAUUAGGCCCUUGAGAUGGCAGAUGACAUACUUUUACUCCAAUUCAUCAACUUGAGCUAUGGGACUCAAAAGAUGGGGCAAGGCAAAUGAGAAAACUGAAUCUACCGUGAUUUUCUUCAAUCAGGUGAAGGAACUUUGUGGGUUUGAUUUUGGGUUCAGCUGAUGAUGAUUCAAGUGAUUUGAGAUUAUUAAACUCUUGGAAACAAAGGGUUCAAAGACUUUUCAAGGUUUGGGUCCAACAUUUGUACAAAAUUGUGUAAAAGAUAAGUUAUGCAAAGAGAAAUUUUAUUUGUACCCGGUUUUUAUUCUUUCUAAUCCCAACCUUAAUAUUUUGUUCAAGGCUCUAAAAGACGCUAGGCGCUAGUCGGGCAGCCAGUUGGGGUCUAGCACCUAGGUGGCUAGGCAGGGCUUAG